RNAcentral lists this ribosomal RNA (157 nucleotides) under Rhizochaete brunnea. RNAcentral describes it as "5.8S ribosomal RNA". It matches the Rfam family "5.8S ribosomal RNA". From Rfam's summary of the family: 5.8S ribosomal RNA (5.8S rRNA) is a component of the large subunit of the eukaryotic ribosome. It is transcribed by RNA polymerase I as part of the 45S precursor that also contains 18S and 28S rRNA. The record is from RNAcentral. Lineage: Eukaryota; Fungi; Basidiomycota; Agaricomycetes; Polyporales; Phanerochaetaceae. RNAcentral also lists the same sequence under 1 other name.
CAACUUUCAGCAACGGAUCUCUUGGCUCUCGCAUCGAUGAAGAACGCAGCGAAAUGCGAUAAGUAAUGUGAAUUGCAGAAUUCAGUGAAUCAUCGAAUCUUUGAACGCACCUUGCGCUCUCUGGUAUUCCGGAGAGCAUGCCUGUUUGAGUGUCAUG